This 253-nucleotide ribosomal RNA is filed under the name uncultured bacterium. RNAcentral describes it as "partial 16S ribosomal RNA". It matches the Rfam family "Bacterial small subunit ribosomal RNA", at positions 524 to 776 of the family's 1533-position model. The record is from RNAcentral.
UACAGAGGUCCCGAGCGUUGUUCGGAUUUAUUGGGCGUAAAGGGUGCGUAGGCGGCGGAGUAAGUUGGGUGUGAAAUCCCGGGGCUUAACCUCGGAAUUGCAUUCAAUACUGCUUCGCUCGAGUACUGGAGAGGAGGCUGGAAUUUACGGUGUAGCAGUGAAAUGCGUAGAUAUCGUAAGGAAGGCCGGUGGCGAAAGCGAGCCUCUGGACAGUAACUGACGCUGAGGAGCGAAAGCGUGGGGAGCGAACAGG